GGGCUCCUAGCUCAGUUGGUUAGAGCAUCUGGUUUACACCCAGAGGGUCGGGGGUUCGAGUCCCUCGGGGCCCA
Molecule: transfer RNA, 74 nt
Filed under: Gulosibacter chungangensis
Lineage: Bacteria; Bacillati; Actinomycetota; Actinomycetes; Micrococcales; Microbacteriaceae
Description: Gulosibacter sp. CAU9625 tRNA
Rfam family: tRNA
About the family: Transfer RNA (tRNA) molecules are approximately 80 nucleotides in length.
Source: Rfam by way of RNAcentral